This 69-nucleotide transfer RNA is filed under the name marine eukaryotic metagenome. It matches the Rfam family "tRNA". From Rfam's summary of the family: Transfer RNA (tRNA) molecules are approximately 80 nucleotides in length. Their secondary structure includes four short double-helical elements and three loops (D, anti-codon, and T loops). The record is from RNAcentral.
CGGAAGUAGCUCAGUGGUAGAGCAUCGCCUUGCCAAGGCGAGGGUCACGGGUUCGAAUCCCGCCUUCCG